UACAGAGGGUGCAAGCGUUAAUCGGAAUUACUGGGCGUAAAGCGCACGUAGGCGGUUUUUUAAGUCAGAUGUGAAAGCCCCGGGCUCAACCUGGGAAUUGCAUUUGAAACUGGGGAACUAGAGUGUGUGAGAGGGGGGUAGAAUUCCAAGUGUAGCGGUGAAAUGCGUAGAGAUUUGGAGGAAUACCAGUGGCGAAGGCGGCCCCCUGGCACAACACUGACGCUCAGGUGCGAAAGCGUGGGGAGCAAACAGGAUUAGAAACCCCCGUAGUCC
RNAcentral lists this ribosomal RNA (273 nucleotides) under uncultured bacterium. Its description in RNAcentral is "partial 16S ribosomal RNA". It matches the Rfam family "Bacterial small subunit ribosomal RNA", at positions 524 to 796 of the family's 1533-position model. The record is from RNAcentral.